GGGGCGGAUCUAGGACUUUUGAAAAAGGUAGUAAUUCCCGAUAUUUUAAGAUAUGGAGAUGAGUUUAGAAAGGCGAUAAUUUCGUAAAUGAUUUUAUACUACAAAUUCUUAUAUAUUAUGAUAACAUGAUAUUUUGAUUUUUUGGCGACCCCCUGGAUUCCGUACUGCAAGAGAUAACGACGAUGCAAUUUAGUGUCUUUUAAGAAGUGAAAAU
This 214-nucleotide long non-coding RNA is filed under the name Mytilus galloprovincialis (Mediterranean mussel). Lineage: Eukaryota; Metazoa; Mollusca; Bivalvia; Mytilida; Mytilidae. The record is from RNAcentral.